CCUGGGACUUGCGUCCCAGGCUAUCCCGUGUCGUCGCUUCGCGACU
RNAcentral lists this small RNA (46 nucleotides) under Rosistilla oblonga. RNAcentral describes it as "Acido-Lenti-1 RNA". It matches the Rfam family "Acido-Lenti-1 RNA". The record is from Rfam by way of RNAcentral. Lineage: Bacteria; Pseudomonadati; Planctomycetota; Planctomycetia; Pirellulales; Pirellulaceae.